GAAAGUGAAUAUAUCUACUGAGUACUGACAGGUGCAUUAAAAAUUAAGAAUGCAUCUAUUAGAAGCAAGGCAAAGGUAAAAGUUUGAAAUAUUGAUUUCUAAGCAAUCAGUUACCUUAAUAUGUCAGUUUCAAAUGUAUACACAAACUCACAAUCUUGAUAGUAUUAGUGUAUUACACACUGAUUUCUAUUUUGUUUAUCUAUCCUUCAUCUGUUGUAGUUUCUUGAUACAUCACUCUUAACAAUCUGAAGAAAAAAAGAGAACAAAACUCACUCAUCUAUGGAUAACAAAACAUAAAAAUCAUACGAUUGGUGGAGGUCUAUCGGAAAUAUCAUCUCUACUUUCUCAAGGUAUAGGUAAUGUCUGUCGAAAUCAUAGAUUGGUGGAGGUCUAUUGGAAACAACCUCUCUACCUUCUCAAGGUAGGGGUUAUGUCUGUCGGAAUCAUACACACUACCCUCGCUAGACUCCACAUGUGAGAUUUUACUGGGGUUUUUUGUUGUUAUUGUUGUUGUUAUACAAUUGGUGGAGGAGGAGUUUCCCAUAUAUCAAAUACAUUUUCUUCACUAUGAAGAGCGAAAAGACGAUCACCACCAAUUGAAAAAUCACAAAUAGAACCACCAUAGCUACGUCGAAGCCUUGAUGUAAGAACAUAAUCAGGACCACAGAACAAAGAAAUGCAAUCGUUCAUCGAUGAGAACAAUUGCCCCUCGUGCAAUGCCAGUUUAGGAUAACAAGGCUCAUCCGGCAUUUUCCCCUUCAUCAACCUACUUCUUGAGCUCCACCUUACACUUCCAGCAGUCUUUCUCAAAUCCAUAAACCCCAAAUCUUCAUACUCAUUCACCACACAAAUAGAGCUAGUUUCCUCCAUUGCUAUCGCGUCCCUAACUCUCCUCUCAUCCGUUAUGGGCGCGCCAGCAUCAGACCAUGACCAGACCAUACUCUUGUCCCUAAAAUCCAACAAACUUAUGUAACAAUUGUCCUUCCUUGGAAACAAAGUAGCAACCAACAAACAGUUAGUACCAUGUAACCAUUGCAACUUGUCAGCAUCACCAAGAGACCAACCAGGUGGCUCAUAGAAAAAAUCUAUCUGUUUUCCGGUAACUUGGUCCCAUACACCAAUCCCAUACUCAUUACUUCUACCUUUACAACUAGAAAACAACUUAUAAUCUGAGCUAAAACUCAAUGCACCAGCUGUAUAACUUUUCACUUGGUUUUCAUGUUUGACAUGAAAUUUGUACCUUAGCUCCCCAUUGGAUGCACUAAACAAUCCCAUACCUCCAUCCCCUUUACCUAAUCUUUCACAAGCACUUAACACGAUAUUCUCCGAAUCAACCCACCCUGCAUCAUUCACCCUUUGAUAAUCAAGAUUAAUAGCAGGGUGCUCUUCUAACAUCCAAUCAUAGACAUGAACCAUACUACCAUGAGCCACACAGCACCCGCCAUCCGGGCCAGCCCGGAUGGCUGUGCCAUCACCAGGAGCUCGGCCUGUCACUGACUUGGCUAGGCCGAGCCUGUUUCCAUCAAACGGACCCCACUUAGCUGACCUGACAUGAUCUAACAAACCAUAAUACAUAGACUCUCUAUAUAACAAUUUUUCAGGAAGAUUUUGUGGUAAAUAAAGCUCUCCUGUUCUGAGUAGGUCAAGAAGGACUGAGAAACAAUCAGGGUUCCUAUCAAUGAAAUGUUCAGUGGUUGUGGCAUCAGAAUUUAGGUUCCAAUCAUUAUCAAACAUGGCUCCAAAUAGCGAAUUCCGACCAGCAUUCGCCAAAGUUGUAGUUGUCGUUUCAAAAAUUCUACCACCAACAUUAAAUUUCACCCUAUCUUUUUGAAUUCCCAUUAUUCAAAUUUCAGUAUCUGAUACUAUGAGUCAAGAAAAAAACAGGGCUCUUGAAAUUCAAAGUUGAAUUGAGAAAAUACAGGAGCAAUAACUUCAAGAAUUAAAGUAGGUAGUAAUCAAAACGGAAUUUUUAUGAACAAACAAUUAAUUAUACUGAAAAUUUUGAAUUCAAGACUCAAUACAAUUAAGAGGACACAGCCUCAAAUGCCAAAUCACGUGGAAAAGACAGUAAGACACCUAUCAUAAUGAUGAUCACAAAGAAGGAAAACAGAGGAAAAUGGUGGUCAGAGAGAAAUAUAGAAGAAAAUAUCAAAAUUUUAAAAAAUCUAUGAUCUGGGUAUUAAGAUUGAAGGAUUUUAGAGAUGGGUUUUGAAUAUUUUUUCAAAGAUUUUUGGUCUAGAAAUGAGAAAAGGAGAAUUGGAGGGUGUCGGGUUUCAAAAAAAUUGAAUCUUGUUAUGUUUUGCUUUUGAUCUUUUCUCUCUCUUUUUUGAGGUCUUGCUAAGUCUGAAGUCUGAACACACUAAGCUUUUUAUUAAUUCAUUGUCUUAUGUAGGUCCCAUUUAUCCUUCUUUUGUUAUUGGCCAUUGAUUAUUUGGAUUUUUGAUCAAAUGGUCAAGAAAAAUAAGGUUGUUGUGUACUUAUAAAAAUGG
Molecule: long non-coding RNA, 2489 nt
Filed under: Nicotiana benthamiana
Lineage: Eukaryota; Viridiplantae; Streptophyta; Magnoliopsida; Solanales; Solanaceae
Description: long non-coding RNA (NBEN_LNC025951)
Source: RNAcentral